UCGAACGGUAACAGGAAGAAGCUUGCUUCUUUGCUGACGAGUGGCGGACGGGUGAGUAAUGUCUGGGAAACUGCCUGAUGGAGGGGGAUAACUACUGGAAACGGUAGCUAAUACCGCAUAACGUCGCAAGACCAAAGAGGGGGACCUUCGGGCCUCUUGCCAUCGGAUGUGCCCAGAUGGGAUUAGCUUGUUGGUGGGGUAACGGCUCACCUAGGCGACGAUCCCUAGCUGGUCUGAGAGGAUGACCAGCCACACUGGAACUGAGACACGGUCCAGACUCCUACGGGAGGCAGCAGUGGGGAAUAUUGCACAAUGGGCGCAAGCCUGAUGCAGCCAUGCCGCGUGUAUGAAGAAGGCCUUCGGGUUGUAAAGUACUUUCAGCGGGGAGGAAGGGAGUAAAGUUAAUACCUUUGCUCAUUGACGUUACCCGCAGAAGAAGCACCGGCUAACUCCGUGCCAGCAGCCGCGGUAAUACGGAGGGUGAAAGCGUUAAUCGGAAUUACUGGGCGUAAAGCGCACGCAGGC
RNAcentral lists this ribosomal RNA (525 nucleotides) under Escherichia coli. Its description in RNAcentral is "bacterial SSU rRNA". It matches the Rfam family "Bacterial small subunit ribosomal RNA", at positions 62 to 576 of the family's 1533-position model. The record is from RNAcentral. Lineage: Bacteria; Pseudomonadati; Pseudomonadota; Gammaproteobacteria; Enterobacterales; Enterobacteriaceae.